UACGUAGGUGGCAAGCGUUGUCCGGAUUUAUUGGGUUUAAAGGGUGCGUAGGCGGUCUGUUAAGUCAGUGGUGAAAUACUUCAGCUCAACUGGAGAGGUGCCAUUGAUACUGGCGGACUUGAGUACUGAUGAGGUAGGCGGAAUGGACGGUGUAGCGGUGAAAUGCUUAGAUAUCGUCCAGAACACCGAUAGCGAAGGCAGCUUACUAAGGAGUAACUGACGCUGAUGCACGAAAGUGUGGGGAUCAAACAGG
This 253-nucleotide ribosomal RNA is filed under the name uncultured bacterium. RNAcentral describes it as "partial 16S ribosomal RNA". It matches the Rfam family "Bacterial small subunit ribosomal RNA", at positions 524 to 776 of the family's 1533-position model. The record is from RNAcentral.